Molecule: long non-coding RNA, 1492 nt
Organism: Harpia harpyja (harpy eagle)
Lineage: Eukaryota; Metazoa; Chordata; Aves; Accipitriformes; Accipitridae
Exons: 2
Source: RefSeq, a predicted model, not a curated record
UCAGUAAGUUUAGCUUUCUGGCAAUAUUCAUCACUAAUACUUUCCCCCCCCAGUUCAGAAAUUACUCACAUUCACUUCCUGGCGGGAGGUGCCUGGAGCAGGAGGUGGUUUGAGGCUGGCAAGGAGCAGCUGUUGGGUGUUUGCACUGCGGACGCGAGGAUAUUCUUGAAAACUUGUGCUACAGCCCUGGAGAAACCACGUCGCCUGCGCACUGCAGCUGGGGAGCAGCCUGGUCUCCACAUCUCUGUCCGACGCUCUCACCCCUGACCCUAGCUGCUCAUCUGCCGGUUGUGGACAUUCCCACCAUGUAGCAAUGGCUGCUCGGGCACCAUGACUCGGCUUCCAGCGCAUGUGAAUUCUGCUCUUCCCUUACUCUGAAUAAAGAACUUUUCACUUCGGGCCUCUGAAUAAUCCUUCUGGAGUCAGUGGGAAUACUUGACUGCUUAAAGUUUUAUCGCCUGCUUAAAUACUUUGUUGCUCAGGGCCUAAAUUAUGACUGAACAUAAAUGAUUAGAUGAGUGUUUAUUCUCCUUUUUCAGGCUUCACACUGAAUAAGAAAUUACACCAACUGUACUCACAUGAAAGCGGGAGUUUAUCUCAAUAUUUUCAUUUUGAAAUUAAAGUAUUGAAUGCAGAAAAACCCACAAGGGUGAAAAUAAUUAGUGCUCUUUCCCGACUGAACCAUUCUGACUUUGUAAUCCUUUUAUUUAUGGUUUUAAUGACAAAUAAACUCUUAUUGUAAAUAUUUAAUCAUGAAGAGUGGUUAAGCAGGACUUAUGUGAUGAAUGGGUCUCACACGGAUCUGCCGAUAUGGCUGAAAACUUGCCCAUUCUUCCCUGCAGCUGUGCCCGACAUCCACCCUCGGGCAGCACCGGGAAGUGCCGACACGGGAUUCACAAGGUCUUGGACACUCUCCAGAUUCCUCCUGGUCUUACCCAAUAAUCUCCAUACUGGUCCAGUAACUUCCGCAUGACAUAAGGACAGCUUGUACUGUGCUGAGGUAUAUCUUCCGAAAAAUACCUAGUUGUCAUCUGGAAAUACCACAGGCAGGAGAAGUCAGCGCUUCCACUUGUCCCAGUGGCUAUUUACACCCUCCAGUAGAAAGUGGUGCUUAGUUUUUCCUUUGAAGAAGCCUGUCUUCAGCUUCCAGCCACUCGGCCUUGUUACAGCUUUCUCUGCUAUCUUAAGGAACUGAUUGUGCAGAACUACCUUGUGUUUCCUCCCAGAAAACGACUCGCAUUUUGUAAUGCAAUUGUCUUUCAAUGUUUUGGGUAAGCCAAACAGACUGAGUUGUUUUGAGUUUCUGACUGUAAGGUAUAUUAAUAUUAAACCCGCCCAGAAGCAUUAAAGGUAGUUUUUCUUCACUCUCCGUUUUUCAAUCACUCUUGUAGACACCAAAGCCCUGUACAAUGUAUUAGUGUCAAUCACAUCAAUACAAUGUACAUUAGUAAAAUCUCUAUUAUUGCCAAACCAGCCUUAGAUACCCAGGCAA